Molecule: ribosomal RNA, 279 nt
Filed under: Klebsiella pneumoniae
Lineage: Bacteria; Pseudomonadati; Pseudomonadota; Gammaproteobacteria; Enterobacterales; Enterobacteriaceae
Also listed under: 1 other name
Description: partial 16S ribosomal RNA
Rfam family: Bacterial small subunit ribosomal RNA
Source: RNAcentral
GAAGCACCGGCUAACUCCGUGCCAGCAGCCGCGGUAAUACGGAGGGUGCAAGCGUUAAUCGGAAUUACUGGGCGUAAAGCGCACGCAGGCGGUCUGUCAAGUCGGAUGUGAAAUCCCCGGGCUCAACCUGGGAACUGCAUUCGAAACUGGCAGGCUAGAGUCUUGUAGAGGGGGGUAGAAUUCCAGGUGUAGCGGUGAAAUGCGUAGAGAUCUGGAGGAAUACCGGUGGCGAAGGCGGCCCCCUGGACAAAGACUGACGCUCAGGUGCGAAAGCGUGGG